Long non-coding RNA from Salvelinus namaycush (lake trout), 215 nucleotides. RefSeq lists it as uncharacterized. The transcript is spliced from 3 exons. The record is from RefSeq and is a predicted model, not a curated record. Lineage: Eukaryota; Metazoa; Chordata; Actinopteri; Salmoniformes; Salmonidae.
CUGUCACAUUGAAAGAGGAAGAAGAGGAGGUUGGAGAUCUGUUUAACACCAGGCACAGCAGAGGAACUUCAUCGAUUCCACUCCUUCAUCAAGCUGUAAACAUCUGAAAUUCAACCUCACCUUUGAUGCGCAUGAAACAAGUUAUCUGGACAUUUUGAUUAAGAGGGAGGUAACCAGAUCGUGGAUACAACUCAGUUACUAAGUCUUUAACCACA